RNAcentral lists this long non-coding RNA (89 nucleotides) under Mus spicilegus (steppe mouse). RNAcentral describes it as "lncRNA (ENSMSIG00000007848.1)". The record is from RNAcentral. Lineage: Eukaryota; Metazoa; Chordata; Mammalia; Rodentia; Muridae.
GCUUAAAAAUCACUUUCAAGCCAGUGGGCACAUGUGUCACGCGAUACAUCUUAUUCUGCUCUACCUUGGCCAGUGCUUCCACUGCACUG